Molecule: ribosomal RNA, 382 nt
Filed under: uncultured eukaryote
Lineage: Eukaryota
Description: partial 18S ribosomal RNA
Rfam family: Eukaryotic small subunit ribosomal RNA
Source: RNAcentral
CAAUAGCGUAUAUUAAAGUUGUUGCAGUUAAAAAGCUCGUAGUUGGAUUUCUGGUGGGAGCGAUCGGUCUGGCGCUUAGCGCGAGUACUUGCAUCGUCUCCGGCCAUCCUUGGGGAGAGUCUGUCUGGCAUUAGGUUGUCGGGCAGAGGAUCCUCAUCGUUUACUGUGAAAAAAUUAGAGUGUUCAAAGCAGGCUUAUGCCGUUGAAUAUAUUAGCAUGGAAUAAUAAGAUAGGACUUUGGUACUAUUUUGUUGGUUUGCGCACCAAAGUAAUAUUAAUAGGGACAGUUGGGGGUAUUCGUAUUCCGUUGUCAGAGGUGAAAUUCUUGGAUUUACGGAAGACGAACUACUGCGAAAGCAUUUACCAAGGAUGUUUUCAUUAA